GACGAACGCUGGCGGCGGGCUUAACACAUGCAAGUCGAACGAACGCCUUCGGGCGUUAGUGGCGCACGGGUGAGUAACACGUAGGCAAUCUACCCUCGGCUGGGGAAUAACCAGGGGAAACCCUGGCUAAUACCGCAUAACAUCUGGACGUCGCCUGGCGACCAGAUCAAAGCUUUAUGUGGCCGAGGAUGAGCCUGCGUCGGAUUAGCUAGUUGGGUGGGGUAACGGCCUACCAAGGCGACGAUCCGUAGCGGGUCUGAGAGGAUGAUCCGCCACACUGGCACUGAGACACGGGCCAGACUCCUACGGGAGGCAGCAGUGAGGAAUAUUGCGCAAUGGACGAAAGUCUGACGCAGCCACGCCGCGUGCAGGAAGA
Molecule: ribosomal RNA, 376 nt
Filed under: uncultured bacterium
Lineage: Bacteria
Description: bacterial SSU rRNA
Rfam family: Bacterial small subunit ribosomal RNA
Source: RNAcentral